AUGAAUUGAGCAGUUGUUAACUGAUUGAAGUGUCCUGAGUUAGGAAACUUAAUAUAUUUAAUGACUAGAGUAGUUAGUGACAUUCCAAACUAAUUUCGUCAAUAUAACCUAAAUUUCUUUCUGUGGUAAAACGUGGAGACAUCGAUUGCAUUUUCUUAUCAGCUUUAAAUAAUAUACUUUUGUGAUUUUGUAGUGCUUACAGUUCUUUCGUCCUUUUUUAUUUUUCUAUCUUAUUUUAAUAACUUUCAGCGCCUUUUUUACCCGGUUGCUCCUGUAGCGCCACCCUUAUUUAGCAGAUUUUAACGGACAAAGGUAGUUUUCCAAUUACAGAGCUACGCGUUAUGUACGCAGCUACGCAUUAGCGUUGCUGUAGUUGGAACAUUCAACGUUGAGCAUUAUGCCGCAUAAUGCGCUCUUGUGCUGUAAUUGGAAAACUACCACUUUUUACACAUAGAGACGGUUCUCCUUACCUCUACCCUCCAUAGUACCUACCUACAGAGCUGACAGUUUUUUGACGUGACAACGUCUUAUAAUUCGAUGGAGCCGGCUGCACGCACGAAAAAACAUGACUCAUUGAGGUGUUCCAUUUAAGGCUUGAAGUGCAAGCGACAGCGCGUAACGAGCGACAAAGAGGCACAAUCGGCGCGUUCUGCAGCGUUCGACAUCUGUCUCUAUAAUAAAACAAGGUUUUCAAGACAUAGCAUAAAAUAUAAUAAUGAUAGGUGGUAAAAUGACAAUGUGUUCGAAGUAUAUUUCAAAUAAUGGAAUAUGGAAAGGAAGGUUACAACAUUCCUCCCCAUCUACAUCUCAUUUAGAGAGUUAGACAGCGGGCUUCUGUAUACGUCGAUUACUGCGAAGCGGAGCAAAUGGCACAGGAGUGGAGACCGGAGCAGCUGGAGAUUUACCAGUGGACGAGUGCGGAGUGCUUCUGUAUUUAAACAAAAAUUCUAAUAGUCCGCGGUUGAGAUUUGUGUUGUCUACCGAUGCCAUUCUGAUUUUGAAUGCUCUGACUAAGCGUUCUGCCAGCCCAUUUGUCCGAGGAUGAUAUGGAGAUGAUGUAACAUAUAAAAUAGACUGUUUUAUGCAAUAUUCUUUAAAUUCAUAAGAUGUAAAUAACUAGAUUAAAUUUCGUUCCUCUCAA
Long non-coding RNA from Bombyx mori (domestic silkworm), 1141 nucleotides. RefSeq lists it as uncharacterized. Lineage: Eukaryota; Metazoa; Arthropoda; Insecta; Lepidoptera; Bombycidae. The transcript is spliced from 2 exons. The record is from RefSeq and is a predicted model, not a curated record.